GAUGAACGCUGGCGGCGUGCCUAAUACAUGCAAGUCGAGCGAACAGAUAAGGAGCUUGCUCCUUUGACGUUAGCGGCGGACGGGUGAGUAACACGUGGGUAACCUACCUAUAAGACUGGAAUAACUCCGGGAAACCGGGGCUAAUGCCGGAUAACAUUUAGAACCGCAUGGUUCUAAAGUGAAAGAUGGUUUUGCUAUCACUUAUAGAUGGACCCGCGCCGUAUUAGCUAGUUGGUAAGGUAACGGCUUACCAAGGCAACGAUACGUAGCCGACCUGAGAGGGUGAUCGGCCACACUGGAACUGAGACACGGUCCAGACUCCUACGGGAGGCAGCAGUAGGGAAUCUUCCGCAAUGGGCGAAAGCCUGACGGAGCAACGCCGCGUGAGUGAUGAAGGUCUUCGGAUCGUAAAACUCUGUUAUUAGGGAAGAACAAAUGUGUAAGUAACUGUGCACGUCUUGACGGGACCUAAUCAGAAAGCCACGGCUAACUACGU
Molecule: ribosomal RNA, 496 nt
Filed under: uncultured bacterium
Lineage: Bacteria
Description: partial 16S ribosomal RNA
Rfam family: Bacterial small subunit ribosomal RNA
Source: RNAcentral